Long non-coding RNA from Dendroctonus ponderosae (mountain pine beetle), 841 nucleotides. RefSeq lists it as uncharacterized. Lineage: Eukaryota; Metazoa; Arthropoda; Insecta; Coleoptera; Curculionidae. The transcript is spliced from 2 exons. The record is from RefSeq and is a predicted model, not a curated record.
UUUCUAGCCUGAUUUCCCGAAACUUUGUGCAGGUGCCAUUGUCAUCAAUCGUUUACACUUUCUGUCAUGGCAAAAUUUUAAAGUGAAAAAAUCACACUAUGUGACUAAAAUCAUGUUUUCCAUCAGCGCUUCAGGAGCAAUUGAUUACUCAGAUCUUUAGAAUGCCACUAUCAGCCUUCGAAUCAAUGGUCCUCACUUUUGCCAUUGUCGGCAGUGUUCAUCUGUUGGUCACUUUACUGGCCAGCUUGGAAAAUGACGAUUUGGAUAAUCGAGCCAUCAUGAAAGAUCUGGCAAAGUAUAAGUUUAUGCACGAAAAUAGGAUACACAGCACUAAAGUUCCGUUCUUUCAUUGAUGAUAAUAUAAAAAGCGAUUAGUUGAAAGUGCUAAGGAAGUAGGAAUAAUGAGUGACAAUCAAAUAUUCAGCAGUCGAAUGGAAUUGAAAGGCAAAAAACCAUUGAAUUAGUAAAAAGGACAUUGAAACAUUCGGCCCGCUUGAAGAAUACUGAACAGCACUUAUGCGGGGAAUCUCAAAUCAGUUCUCAGAUUAAUGUGCUCGGAUAAAAUUGAAGCGAUUCGUAUUACGGUUCUUGGUUAGAAGAUUUCUGGGUUCCCAUAUGACGCCGCAAUCCCGCGGCAGAAAAAUGGAAAUAGCAAACAACAGCGACCGGUUUUCAAAGAUCUUCCGAUCUCACGAAUCCGUUACCAGUGAAUUUAUUUGCCCACAAGCUCAAUUCGUUACGGAAUUAAAUGAAGAAAACAUUUCCACUCACGUCCCGCUUGGCCUUUAACUUAACUUAAUUUAACAAUAACAGAAGGAAAAAUAAACAUUUUUUUAUUGAA